RNAcentral lists this long non-coding RNA (1733 nucleotides) under Vulpes vulpes (red fox). RNAcentral describes it as "lncRNA (ENSVVUG00000014576.1)". The record is from RNAcentral. Lineage: Eukaryota; Metazoa; Chordata; Mammalia; Carnivora; Canidae.
GCAGGGGCAGGCCCUCCUCCCUCUCACAGGUGCCGGCCCUCCCUCCGGCCCUCCCUCCGCAGGUGCCAGCCCUCCCCCCCAGGUGCCCGGCCCUCCCCCCUCGCAGGUGCAGGCCCUCCUCCCUCUCACAGGUGCAGGCCCUCCCCCCCAGGUGCCAGGCCCUCCCUCCGCAGGUGCCAGCCCUCACCCCCCAGGUGCCAGGCCCUCCCUCCGCAGGCCCCAACACCUUCAGGCCCCGUAGCAGGCUAGCACCGAAACACCGCUUUGUCCUCUGGACAGCAGGGACUGUCCCUGAACACAGCCCUUUACCAGCUCAUAGUUAUGACGUUGACGUUGGAGGACAUGUAUUCACCUUUUUUUUUUUUUUUCCAGAAAAAUCUUAUCACCAAAAAUUCUUUGUGAAUGAGCUUGUGUACUUUUAAAGUAUGGUAAUGAUCGUUGUAUUCAUUUUUUUUUUUUUAUGAUAGUCACACAGAGAGAGAGAGAGACAGAGACACAGGCAGAGGGAGAAGCAGGCUCCAUGCAGGGAGCCCAAUGUGGGAUUCGAUCCCGGGUCUCCAGGAUCGCGCCCUGGGCCAAAGGCAGGCGCCAAACCGCUGCACCACCCAGGGAUCCCUUAUUCAUUUUUUUUUUUUUUAAGAUUUUAUCUCUAAGUGAUUUCUACGCCCAAAGUGGGCCUGGGACCCACAGCCCCUAGAUCAAGAGUUGCAGGCUCCACAGAUCGAGCCAGCCAGGAGCCCCUGGUAAUGACCAUUUUUAAGUGAAGAUGUAAAGGAUACGAAAAGAGUCAAUGAAGACGGAAUAAGAAAACCGAAAGCGAUGGGAAUGUCAGAAAAUUGAAUGGAAGUAGAGAAAAGGGAGUGGUCCUUCCUAAAAGCCAACAGUGACACAAGAAAGCUUACCACCAGUUACAGAGUCAUGGCCACGUUAUCUAACCCAGGAGCUGUAUCCUUCACUGCAGUUCUCAAGGAAAGAGCACACUUUGGGAGUUUGAAAUAUAAGAGUUCUAGUACUCUCUUACACUCUUUAAAAAAGUCACUCGACAGCUUUCUCCUGUCAGGUUUAGAAAUGUCAACAUCUUUCUUGUUCCAAUGAAGGAGUUCUCAGAGUAUGAUUCUCCAUUAUCAUCAUCAUAACCUUUACUACUACCAUCUGGAAAUCUGUUAGAAAUGCGACUACGUGGGCCCCACCAUAGACUCAAUUAGAAAUUCUGGGGUCGGGGCGUAGCACUGUGUGUUUCGAUUGGAUACACACUCAAGUUUAAGACCCACUGUCUGAUGCCAUGCAUUGAUCAAGAAUCUAAUUUGUUUUUGUGUAGAUUUUCCUACUGAAAAGAGCUCAUUGGAAAACAAGAAUGGAAAAGGUACAAUGCUUGCCCUCACAGAGUUUACAUUAUAAUAUGGAGACAAAACAUUUACUCUUCUAAGGGUAAUUUAAUAAGCAAUGAGUUAUUUACAGGUGAGGUGACAGGAUCAUGAUGUCUUGGGUUUGUUUUAAAUUAUUUUAGAGAAGGCUGCCUGGGUGACUUAGUUAAGUGGUCAGCUCUUGGUUUUGGCUCAGGUCAUGAUCUCAGGGUCCUGGGAUUGAGCCCUGCAUUGGGCUUCCAGGUCAGCACAGACUCUGGUAGUUUUUCUCUCUCCUCCUCCCUUGGCCUCCCCCUCCCCAACUGUUCACAGUCUCUCUCCCAAUUUCUCUAAAAUAAAUAAAUCUUUAAAAAUUAUUAUAGGGUGUUA